GUCAGUCAGGAGUCUAGCCAUGGCUUACCUGGGCCCUCUUCUCUGGGUUCCACAAGGCUGGACUCAAGAGUCAGCCUGCCUGUGUUCUCAUCUGGGAGUCUGGAGAAGAAUCAGCUUCCAACCUUACUCAGGUUGUUGGAAGAAUUUAUUUUCUUAGGUUGUGGAAUAUAGGGCUUUUAUUCCUUGCUGGCUGUUGGCUUGAGGCUGCCCACUUAAAGAAAACCUUUCCACCUGGCUUAAUUCAUCAAGCCAGCAAGCAAAAAAUCCUAGGGAGACAGAGCCUUAUAUAAAGUGACGUAAUAAAAUCACAAACGUGACAUUCUAACAAAACAUACUCAAGGAUGUGACUCACACACCUUUGCCACCUUCCAUUGUGACUCAUUUAUUCAUAAGCUUGGGACUCACACAUCACCAAUGAGAACUGAGAGGAUGUCUUACGUUUCCUUCCAUCUACAGGGCAGGUGCAGAGGAUCCAGCAUGUUAUUCUGAAACCCCAGAAGACGCUGCAGCUACCAAAUAGAAGGAGCCUGGAUCCCUGAAUGUCUUCAUGGAACAGAACAUUCUCCUCACUCCAGUCUGUUUGAACCAGAAUAUGACCUGAGCAAGAAAUAAGCCUUAAUUAUAUUUG
RNAcentral lists this long non-coding RNA (628 nucleotides) under Homo sapiens (human). RNAcentral describes it as "HSALNT0345573". Lineage: Eukaryota; Metazoa; Chordata; Mammalia; Primates; Hominidae. The record is from RNAcentral.